This 2301-nucleotide ribosomal RNA is filed under the name human gut metagenome. RNAcentral describes it as "bacterial LSU rRNA". It matches the Rfam family "Bacterial large subunit ribosomal RNA", at positions 14 to 2350 of the family's 2925-position model. The record is from RNAcentral.
AGAGCGCAGGGUGGAUGCCUUGGCACUAAGAGCCGAAGAAAGACGUGAUAAGCUGCGAAAAGCUGCGGGGAGAUGCAAAUAAUCCUUGAUCCGCAGAUGUCUGAAUGGGGAAACCCGGUACGAAGAACUCGUAUCAUCCAUACGCCAAUCCAUAACGUAUGGAGGGGAACCCGGUGAACUGAAACAUCUAAGUAGCCGGAGGAAGAGAAAGAAACAUCGAUUUUGUUAGUAGCGGCGAGCGAAAGCGAAAGAGGCCAAACCGGAGUGCGUGCACUCCGGGGUUCGGACCGCAUUUAAGAUUCAGUGAUUCUAGCAGAAAGGUUUGGGAAAGCCUGCCGGAGAGGGUGAAAGCCCCGUAAGCGAAAGGAGAACUGACUGAGCGGGAUCCAGAGUACAUCGAGACACGAGAAACCUUGAUGGAAUGAGCGGGGACCACCCCGUAAGCCUAAAUACUACUUAGUGACCGAUAGCGCAUAGUACUGUGAAGGAAAGGUGAAAAGGACCCCGGGAGGGGAGUGAAAGAGAACCUGAAACCCUGUGUUUACAAGCUGUGGAAGUUCUUUAAAUGAACAACCGCGUACUUUUUGUAGAACGGUCCGGCGAGUUGCGGAUACUGGCAAGGUUAAGCACUUAAGGUGCGGAGCCGAAGGGAUACCAAGUCUUAACAGGGCGUAAAGUCAGUGUACGCAGACCCGAAACCGGGUGAUCUAUCCAUGUCCAGGUUGAAGUUGUCGUAAAAGACAAUGGAGGACCGAAGCCACAUCCGUUGAAAAGGGUGGGCAUGAGGUGUGGAUAGGGGAGAAAUUCCAAUCGAACCCGGAGAUAGCUGGUUCUCCUCGAAAUAGCUUUAGGGCUAGCCUCGAUUUAGUCUUAUGGAGGUAGAGCACUGAAUUUCCGCGGGGGCGUCAAAGCUUACCAAAGAAUAUCAAACUCCGAAUGCCAUGUAGAUGAUGAUCGGGAGUCAGACUGCACGAGAUAAGUUGGGCAGUCAAAAGGGAAAGAGCCCAGACCACCGGCUAAGGUCCCAAAGUGCGUGUUAAGUGGAAAAGGAUGUGGGAAUUCGAAGACAACUAGGAUGUUGGCUCAGAAGCAGCCAUACAUUCAAAGAGUGCGUAACAGCUCACUAGUCGAGAGUUCCUGCGCCGAAAAUGUCCGGGGCUGAAACACGACACCGAAGCCGUGGACUCGCAAUGCGAGUGGUAGAGGAGCAUUCUUAAAACCGACGAAGCUGUACCGGAAGGAGCAGUGGAGGGAUAAGAAGAGAGAAUGCCGGAAUGAGUAGCGAGAGAAAGGUGGGAAUCCUUUCGGCCGAAUAUCUAAGGUUUCCAGAGUAAAGCUGAUCUGCUCUGGGUAAGUCGGGGCCUAAGCACAGGUCGCAAGACGUAAGCGAUGGAUAACAGGUUUAGAUUCCUGUACCACGCAUUAUCAGAACUGUAGGGACGCAUGUGGAAAGCACGAGCCGGGAAUGGAAAGACCGGUACAAGCGAGGUAGGUGUACAAUAGGCAAAUCCGUUGUAUGAUCCGAAGACGUGAUGUGGAGCGAAAUAAAGUAGUGAAGCGUGUGAGCCAUGUGCCGAGAAAAGCUGCUAUUGUGUAAUGCGUGCCCGUACCGUAAACCGACACAGGUGGAUGAGGAGAGAAUCCUAAGGCCGACGGAAGAAGCAUUGUUAAGGAAUUCGGCAAAAUGACCCCGUAACUUCGGGAGAAGGGGUGCCUGCGAGAGCAGGCCGCAGAGAAUAGGCUCAAGCAACUGUUUAGCAAAAACACAGGUCUAUGCGAAACCGAAAGGUGAAGUAUAUGGGCUGACGCCUGCCCGGUGCUGGAAGGUUAAGAGGAGAGGUUAGCGCAAGCGAAGCUUUGAAUUUAAGCCCCAGUAAACGGCGGCCGUAACUAUAACGGUCCUAAGGUAGCGAAAUUCCUUGUCGGGUAAGUUCCGACCCGCACGAAAGGCGUAAUGAUUUGAGCACUGUCUCGACAAUGCAUCCGGUGAAAUUGAAGUACCAGUGAAGAUGCUGGUUACCCGCGCCAGGACGGAAAGACCCCAUGGAGCUUUACUCCAGUUUGAUACUGGGAUUCGGUACUGCAUGUACAGGAUAGGUGGGAGACGAAGAAGGAUGGACGCCAGUCUGUCCGGAGUCGCUGUUGGGAUACCACCCCUGUAGUACUGGGUUUCUAACCAGUUACCAUGAUCUGGUAAUGGGACAAUGUCAGGCGGGGAGUUUGACUGGGGCGGUCGCCUCCGAAAGGGUAUCGGAGGCGCUCAAAGGUUCCCUCAGAAUGGUUGGAAACCAUUCGAAGAGU